CCUACGGGCGGCAGCAGUAGGGAAUAUUGCUCAAUGGGGGAAACCCUGAUGCAGCAACGCCGCGUGGGUGAUGAAGGUUUUCGGAUUGUAAACCCCUUUUGUUAGAGAAGAUAAUGACGGUAUCUAACGAAUAAGCACCGGCUAACUCCGUGCCAGCAGCCGCGGUAAUACGGAGGGUGCAAGCGUUACCCGGAUUCACUGGGCGUAAAGAGCGCGCAGACGGGAUAGCAAGGCAGAUGUGAAAUCCUAGGGCUUAACCAUAGAACUGCAUUUGAAACUGUGAUUCUAGAGUUUGGGAGAGGUAGGUGGAAUUCUUGGUGUAGGGGUAAAAUCCGUAGAGAUCAGGAGGAAUACU
This 355-nucleotide ribosomal RNA is filed under the name uncultured bacterium. Its description in RNAcentral is "partial 16S ribosomal RNA". It matches the Rfam family "Bacterial small subunit ribosomal RNA", at positions 338 to 710 of the family's 1533-position model. The record is from RNAcentral.